AAGAAUAUUGACCCAUCUUAGAAUCUCACCGUUUAAUAAAUCAAAACGAUGAUUAACAUAUACAGAUCAUAAUAGUUAUAUCAGGAUUAAGAAUAUAAGUACAUUUAAUAGUUUAGAGAAUAUGCUUUUGUCAGUCAGUCUAAAGCAACUAUCUCUACUCGGCCCGUUCAAUACAUACAUAAUGCACUAGCACAAGAAGUUGGAACUAUACCAUUCCCAUAAUCAAGAUAAACUACAUAUAAUCUUGUGCUACAAUCGUCCCGAUGGCAUGUCCAAUUUCCAUCUUAGAUUGUGAACAAAAAAAACUUUAUACUUAUAAGAACCGAUGAUUUAAUCCUCUGUGUAUAAGCUUAAACUCUAUACACUAAAUCAUCUACUAUAUAAGUAAACAAGCACCAUAAACGAAUAUAUGAUCUAUUAUAAUAAA
This 427-nucleotide long non-coding RNA is filed under the name Solanum tuberosum (potato). RNAcentral's name for it is "long non-coding RNA (STUB_LNC008173)". The record is from RNAcentral. Lineage: Eukaryota; Viridiplantae; Streptophyta; Magnoliopsida; Solanales; Solanaceae.